Molecule: ribosomal RNA, 468 nt
Filed under: uncultured bacterium
Lineage: Bacteria
Description: partial 16S ribosomal RNA
Rfam family: Bacterial small subunit ribosomal RNA
Source: RNAcentral
GACGAACGCUGGCGGCGUGCUUAACACAUGCAAGUCGAACGGAAAGGCCCUGCUUUUGUGGGGUGCUCGAGUGGCGCACGGGUGAGUAACACGUGAGUAACCUGCCCUUGACUUUGUGAUAACUUCAGGAAACUGCGGCUAAUACCGGAUAGGAGCUCCUGAUGCAUGGGGGGGGUUGGAAAGUUUCGGCGGUUGGGGAUGGACUCGCGGCUUAUCAGCUUGUUGGUGGGGUAGUGGCUUACGAGGGCUUUGGCGGGUAGCCGGCCUGAGAGCGUGACCGGCCACCUUGGGACUGCGAUACGGCCCAGUCUCCAACGUGAGGCAGCAGGGGGGAAUAUUGCACAACGGGGGGGAGCGUGAUGCAGCAACGCCGCGUGCGGGAUGACGGCUUUCGGGUUGUAAACCGCUUUCGCCUGUGACGAAGCGUGAGUGACGGUAAUGGGUAAAGAAGCACCGGCUAACUACGUG